This 290-nucleotide unclassified non-coding RNA is filed under the name uncultured fungus. Its description in RNAcentral is "sequence contains ITS2". Lineage: Eukaryota; Fungi. The record is from RNAcentral.
AACGCAAAUUGCACUCCCUGGCAAUCCGGGGAGUAUGCCUGUUUGAGGGUCAGUUUAAAUAAAAUCGGGAUGUUGCUUUCUGGUGGCAUUUCGGAAUUGGGUCAUCUUAGCCCCUUAGGUGGUGUUAAGAGGUCUGAAAUUGACAUUCUUGCCAUCCUGGACGUGUAUAAUUUCUUGUCCGUUCCGGGUGUCAUUCUCUUCCAUUGGGCGUGGUCACGUCGUGUGAUUUCGCGCCCAUGGCUCUCUCAUUAAAUGACCUCAAAUCAGGUAAGAGUACCCGCUGAACUUAA